AACGAACGUUGGCGGCGUGGAUUAGGCAUGCAAGUCGAACGAAUCCCAUUUGGGUAACUGAGUGGGGGAAGUGGCGAAAGGGGCAGUAAGGCGUGGGUAACCUACCCCGGGGAUCGGGAUAGCCAUCCUAACGGAUGGGUAAUACCGGGCGAUCUGACGAGGAGGCAUCUUUUUGUCAGGAAAUGAAUUUUGCCUCGGGAGGGGCUCACGUGAUAUUAGCUUGUUGGCGGGGUAACGGCCCACCAAGGCAAAGAUGUCUAGCGGGUGUGAGAGCACGACCCGCGCCACUGGCACCUGAGACACUGGCCAGACACCUACGGGAGGCAG
Molecule: ribosomal RNA, 327 nt
Filed under: uncultured Planctomycetota bacterium
Lineage: Bacteria; Pseudomonadati; Planctomycetota
Description: bacterial SSU rRNA
Rfam family: Bacterial small subunit ribosomal RNA
Source: RNAcentral